RNAcentral lists this unclassified non-coding RNA (394 nucleotides) under soil metagenome. RNAcentral's name for it is "partial contains 5.8S ribosomal RNA, internal transcribed spacer 2, and large subunit ribosomal RNA". The stretch from base 1 to 122 matches the Rfam family "5.8S ribosomal RNA", at positions 35 to 154 of the family's 154-position model. The record is from RNAcentral.
GAUGAAGAACGUAGCGAAAUGCGAUACUUGGUGUGAAUUGCAGAAUCCCGUGAACCAUCGAGUCUUUGAACGCAAGUUGCGCCCGAAGCCAUCAGGUUGAGGGCACGUCUGCCUGGGCGUCACAUAUCGUUGCUCGAUGCCUAUCGCAUUGCGAUAGGACUUAGGGCGAAUGAUGGCUUCCCGUGAGCGUUGUUGCCUCGCGGUUGGUUGAAAAUCGAGUCCUUGGUAGGGUGUGCCAUGAUAGAUGGUGGUCGAGUUAGCACGAGACCCAAUCAUGUGAGACCCCUACCGAAUUUGGCCUUCAUGACCCACAUGCGUCUUUGGAACGCUCAUGACGAGACCUCAGGUCAGGCGGGGCUACCCGCUGAGUUUAAGCAUAUCAAUAAGCGGAGGA